CACGUAGGGUGCGAGCGUUGUCCGGAAUUAUUGGGCGUAAAGAGCUCGUAGGCGGUGUGUCGCGUCGGCCGUGAAAACCUGCAGCUUAACUGUGGGCGUGCGGUCGAUACGGGCAUCACUGGAGUUCGGCAGGGGAGACUGGAAUUCCUGGUGUAGCGGUGAAAUGCGCAGAUAUCAGGAGGAACACCGGUGGCGAAGGCGGGUCUCUGGGCCGAUACUGACGCUGAGGCGCGAAGGCGUGGGGAGCGAACGGG
Molecule: ribosomal RNA, 254 nt
Filed under: uncultured bacterium
Lineage: Bacteria
Description: partial 16S ribosomal RNA
Rfam family: Bacterial small subunit ribosomal RNA
Source: RNAcentral